CAUCAACCCAACAAACCACGCAUUGGACGUGGUCCCCAGGCCAUCACAUGCCCUUCCCUCCCCUCCUGAAGCUCUCACGCCCCUCUUGCCACCAACUUCUUUGUCCCCACGCCCCUACCUGCCCCCACCUUCUUACCCAUGAAACAAAGGGGUUCCCAGGUCUGGAUCUCCAUUGCCAGAGCUGCCAUGGCAGACGAAUCGAAGUUAAAUAACAGUGGAUCUCGAACAACUUGGUGCAAGAAAAGAAGAGAGAGGGAUGAUAGAUCAGAACGUACCAGGCAGCAAGCACCAGCAAGGGUGAAAAACGAGGUGAUCCUUUUGUCCUCCUAUUCAGUGCAACUACAUUCAAGUGCAUCUGCAAACCUACAAAAUCAGAUGCAUGUGAAUACAUGAGGAUGCCAACUACUGAAUGGUUCUUGUGGAAGUAAACAAGUUGAAGAUGCCUCCCUCAAAAAAAGUUGAAGAUGCCAACUCAUGUGGCAUUAUUGUGCAACUAUUAAGAAAAGUUGGAGAUGACAUCUCCUAUUUGGUUCUUGUGCAACUAAAAUAGUUAAGGAUGCCAACUCCGUGAUAUUAUUGUGGGACUAUUUAAAAAGCUGAGACUGCCAACUCCCAAAUGGUUAUGGUCAAACUACGAAAGUUGAGGAUGCCAACUCGUAUGAUACCGUUGCGCAACUAUUUGAAAAGUUGAGGAUACCAACUCUUAAUUAA
Molecule: long non-coding RNA, 711 nt
Organism: Aegilops tauschii subsp. strangulata
Lineage: Eukaryota; Viridiplantae; Streptophyta; Magnoliopsida; Poales; Poaceae
Source: RefSeq, a predicted model, not a curated record